This 105-nucleotide small nuclear RNA is filed under the name Nannospalax galili (Upper Galilee mountains blind mole rat). The record is from RNAcentral. Lineage: Eukaryota; Metazoa; Chordata; Mammalia; Rodentia; Spalacidae.
UGGGUUAUCUUCAGCAGCCAGUACACUGAAACUGGACGGAUCCAGAGAUUAGCACCGCCCCCAAGCAAGGGCGACACGCAAAUUCAUGAAGUGUUCCACAUUAAA